RNAcentral lists this ribosomal RNA (445 nucleotides) under uncultured bacterium. RNAcentral describes it as "partial 16S ribosomal RNA". It matches the Rfam family "Bacterial small subunit ribosomal RNA", at positions 354 to 796 of the family's 1533-position model. The record is from RNAcentral.
GUGAGGAAUAUUGGACAAUGGGCGCAAGCCUGAUCCAGCCAUGCCGCGUGCAGGAAGACGCAUCUAUGGUGUGUAAACUGCUUUUGUACGGGAAGAAACACUCCCUCGUGAGGGAGCUUGACGGUACCGUAAGAAUAAGGAUCGGCUAACUCCGUGCCAGCAGCCGCGGUAAUACGGAGGAUCCAAGCGUUAUCAGGAAUCAUUGGGUUUAAAGGGUCCGUAGGCGGUUUAAUAAGUCAGUGGUGAAAGCCCAUCGCUCAACGAUGGAACGGCCAUUGAUACUGUUAGACUUGAAUUACAAGGAAGUAACUAGAAUAUGUAGUGUAGCGGUGAAAUGCUUAGAUAUUACAUGGAAUACCAAUUGCGAAGGCAGGUUACUACUUGUGGAUUGACGCUGAUGGACGAAAGCGUGGGGAGCGAACAGGAUUAGAAACCCUGGUAGUCC